Molecule: long non-coding RNA, 259 nt
Organism: Pungitius pungitius (ninespine stickleback)
Lineage: Eukaryota; Metazoa; Chordata; Actinopteri; Perciformes; Gasterosteidae
Exons: 3
Source: RefSeq, a predicted model, not a curated record
CACUCCGUCUGAUGGAAGCUGAAGUGAAGCACGGAGCUCCUUUUCUACAGACCUGCUGAGGACAGAAGAGAGCUGCACACUGAGGAAGUUCAUGUCUACAAGAUCACAGGUGGUUAUGAAGGUGUGAAGGUGUGGACUCUGCUAUGAAUCAGGCUGAGGACCCAGAGGACAGUGUCCCUCCCUCUGAAGCCCCUCUGUGGGGGGGACAUGACAGACAGACCAAAGCUCAGAGGACCCAUCAGAGACCUGGACCUGAUCC